RNAcentral lists this transfer RNA (61 nucleotides) under Sciurus carolinensis (gray squirrel). It matches the Rfam family "tRNA", at positions 6 to 65 of the family's 71-position model. Rfam says of the family: Transfer RNA (tRNA) molecules are approximately 80 nucleotides in length. Lineage: Eukaryota; Metazoa; Chordata; Mammalia; Rodentia; Sciuridae. RNAcentral also lists the same sequence under 2 other names. The record is from Rfam by way of RNAcentral.
UGUGGCUCAGUGGUAGAGCACUUGCCUAGCAUGUGUGAAGCACUGGGUUCGAUUCUCAGCA